This is a non-coding RNA of Pteropus alecto (black flying fox), 73 nucleotides long. Lineage: Eukaryota; Metazoa; Chordata; Mammalia; Chiroptera; Pteropodidae. The record is from Rfam.
GGUUUCAAAGUCUAGUGGUUAGCACGUCUGCUUUACACGCAGAAGGUCCUGGGUUCGAGCCCCAGCGAAGCCA